AGUGAACGCUGGCGACGUGCUUAACACAUGCAAGUCGAACGGUAACAGGAACUAGCUUGCUAGUUUGCUGACGAGUGGCGCACGGGUGAGUAAUAUAUAGUUAAUGUACCCCAAAGACUGGGAUAGCCACUGGAAACGGUGAUUAAUACUAGAUACACCUCUUUAACAUAAGUUAGAGAGGGAAAUGUCUUUUCGCUUUGGGAUCAGACUAUAUCCUAUCAGUUAGUUGGUGAGGUAAUGGCUCACCAAGGCAAUGACGGGUAGCGGGUUUGAGAGGAUGAUCCGCCACACUGGUACUGAGACACGGACCAGACUCCUACGGGAGGCAGCAGUGAGGAAUAUUGCACAAUGGAGGAAACCCUGAUGCAGCAACGCCGCGUGGAGGAUGACGCAUUUCGGUGUGUAAACUCCUUUAUGAGUCAAGAAAAUGACGGUAGCUCAUGAAUAAGCACCGGCUAACUCCGUGCCAGCAGCCGCGGU
RNAcentral lists this ribosomal RNA (480 nucleotides) under uncultured bacterium. Its description in RNAcentral is "bacterial SSU rRNA". It matches the Rfam family "Bacterial small subunit ribosomal RNA", at positions 29 to 521 of the family's 1533-position model. The record is from RNAcentral.